Molecule: ribosomal RNA, 245 nt
Filed under: uncultured bacterium
Lineage: Bacteria
Description: partial 16S ribosomal RNA
Rfam family: Bacterial small subunit ribosomal RNA
Source: RNAcentral
UACGAAGGGGGCUAGCGUUGUUCGGAAUUACUGGGCGUAAAGCGCGUGUAGGCGGGCGACUAAGUCAGGGGUGAAAUGCCGAGGCUCAACUUCGGAAUGGCCUUUGAUACUGUUCGUCUUGAGUCCGGGAGAGGUGAGUGGAACUGCGAGUGUAGAGGUGAAAUUCGUAGAUAUUCGCAAGAACACCAGUGGCGAAGGCGGCUCACUGGCCCGGAACUGACGCUGAGACGCGAAAGCGUGGGGAG